Molecule: ribosomal RNA, 1444 nt
Filed under: uncultured bacterium
Lineage: Bacteria
Description: bacterial SSU rRNA
Rfam family: Bacterial small subunit ribosomal RNA
Source: RNAcentral
CUUAACACAUGCAAGUCGAGGGGCAGCAUCAUCAAAGCUUGCUUUGAUGGAUGGCGACCGGCGCACGGGUGAGUAACACGUAUCCAACCUGCCGACAACACUGGGAUAGCCUUUCGAAAGAAAGAUUAAUACCGGAUGGCAUAGUUUUCCCGCAUGGGAUAAUUAUUAAAGAAUUUCGGUUGUCGAUGGGGAUGCGUUCCAUUAGGCAGUUGGCGGGGUAACGGCCCACCAAACCUACGAUGGAUAGGGGUUCUGAGAGGAAGGUCCCCCACAUUGGAACUGAGACACGGUCCAAACUCCUACGGGAGGCAGCAGUGAGGAAUAUUGGUCAAUGGACGAGAGUCUGAACCAGCCAAGUAGCGUGAAGGAUGACUGCCCUAUGGGUUGUAAACUUCUUUUAUACGGGAAUAAAGUGAGCCACGUGUGGCUUUUUGUAUGUACCGUAUGAAUAAGGAUCGGCUAACUCCGUGCCAGCAGCCGCGGUAAUACGGAGGAUUCGAGCGUUAUCCGGAUUUUUUGGGUUUAAAGGGAGCGUAGGCGGGUUGUUAAGUCAGUUGUGAAAGUUUGCGGCUCAACCGUAAAAUUGCAGUUGAUACUGGCGACCUUGAGUGCAACAGAGGUAGGCGGAAUUCGUGGUGUAGCGGUGAAAUGCUUAGAUAUCACGAAGAACUCCGAUUGCGAAGGCAGCUUACUGGAUUGUAACUGACGCUGAUGCUCGAGAGUGUGGGUAUCAAACAGGAUUAGAUACCCUGGUAGUCCACACAGUAAACGAUGAAUACUCGCUGUUGGCGAUAUACAGUCAGCGGCCAAGCGAAAGCAUUAAGUAUUCCACCUGGGGAGUACGCCGGCAACGGUGAAACUCAAAGGAAUUGACGGGGGCCCGCACAAGCGGAGGAACAUGUGGUUUAAUUCGAUGAUACGCGAGGAACCUUACCCGGGCUUAAAUUGCAACUGACGGAACCGGAAACGGUUCUUUCUUCGGACAGUUGUGAAGGUGCUGCAUGGUUGUCGUCAGCUCGUGCCGUGAGGUGUCGGCUUAAGUGCCAUAACGAGCGCAACCCUUACGGGUAGUUACCAUCAGGUUAUGCUGGGGACUCUACCCGGACUGCCGUCGUAAGAUGUGAGGAAGGUGGGGAUGACGUCAAAUCAGCACGGCCCUUACGUCCGGGGCUACACACGUGUUACAAUGGGGGGUACAGAAGGCAGCUACACGGCGACGUGGUGCUAAUCCCAAAAGCCUCUCUCAGUUCGGAUUGGAGUCUGCAACCCGACUCCAUGAAGCUGGAUUCGCUAGUAAUCGCGCAUCAGCCACGGCGCGGUGAAUACGUUCCCGGGCCUUGUACACACCGCCCGUCAAGCCAUGAAAGCCGGGGGUACCUGAAGUACGUAACCGCGAGGAGCGUCCUAGGGUAAAACUGGUGAUUGGGGCUAAGUCGUAACAAGG